UACGGAGGGGGCUAGCGUUGUUCGGACUUACUGGGCGUAAAGCGCACGUAGGCGGCUUUGUAAGUUAGAGGUGAAAGCCCAGGGCUUAACCCUGGAAUUGCCUUUAAGACUGCAUCGCUAGAAUCGUGGAGAGGUGAGUGGAAUUCCGAGUGUAGAGGUGAAAUUCGUAGAUAUUCGGAAGAACACCAGUGGCGAAGGCGACUCACUGGACACGUAUUGACGCUGAGGUGCGAAAGCGUGGGGAGCAAACAGG
RNAcentral lists this ribosomal RNA (253 nucleotides) under uncultured bacterium. RNAcentral describes it as "partial 16S ribosomal RNA". It matches the Rfam family "Bacterial small subunit ribosomal RNA", at positions 524 to 776 of the family's 1533-position model. The record is from RNAcentral.